Molecule: ribosomal RNA, 254 nt
Filed under: uncultured bacterium
Lineage: Bacteria
Description: partial 16S ribosomal RNA
Rfam family: Bacterial small subunit ribosomal RNA
Source: RNAcentral
UACGUAGGGGGCUAGCGUUGUCCGGAAUCAUUGGGCGUAAAGAGCGUGUAGGCGGUCCGGUAAGUCCGCUGUGAAAGUCGGGGGCUCAACCCUCGAAUGCCGGUGGAUACUGUCGGGCUAGAGUGCGGAAGAGGCGAGUGGAAUUCCUGGUGUAGCGGUGAAAUGCGCAGAUAUCAGGAGGAACCACCAAUUGCGAAGGCAGCUCGCUGGGACGUGACUGACGCUGAGACGCGAAAGCGUGGGGAGCAAACAGG